This 102-nucleotide small nuclear RNA is filed under the name Tropilaelaps mercedesae. Lineage: Eukaryota; Metazoa; Arthropoda; Arachnida; Mesostigmata; Laelapidae. The record is from RNAcentral.
AUAUUUUCGAAUACACAUAAUAGAAUUGGAAAAAGACAGAAGGGAUUAGCAUGGUCCUUACGUAAGGAUGACAUGCAAAAUCGUGAAGCGUUCCACAUUUUU